RNAcentral lists this long non-coding RNA (661 nucleotides) under Ricinus communis (castor bean). RNAcentral's name for it is "long non-coding RNA (RCOM_LNC002029)". The record is from RNAcentral. Lineage: Eukaryota; Viridiplantae; Streptophyta; Magnoliopsida; Malpighiales; Euphorbiaceae.
UUUCCACAAAUACUGCAGUAAUAAUUUUAAAUAAGGAGUGACCAAUUAUAAAUUUUGCAUUGUACUAAAAUAUCAAGAAAGAUCCCUCUUUUUAUCUCAUCCCCUCUCUCCUUGAUGUACACGUUGCCGCCUCUCCCUCUCCUCGACUGUCCCAACUCCAGCCACCGUUGGCCAUAAAACUCCAGCCAGAAGGACUUCUCGACGCUGCCAGCUCUCCGUCACCACUGGUUUCACCCAAAACGGCUGGCAAACAGCGGAGUAAGGAGGAGAAAAUCUAGCAAUCGUUUCCACCAUUGGAACACUUCCGAUUGUCAUUUUCUGGGUGAUUGGAGGCUCAUAAUCAACUCCCUACUCCUAAAAAUCUUAGGACGAACGACAACCUUUAACGUUCGGGUCUUGCCGAUGAACAGAGUUAGCUUGGAUUUAAAGCUUUUGAAACCCCGCUUCGCGAUCUACGUGUUGGUAGGCUCGGAUAAAAUUUCAUCGCUAUCGAAAAUUUUCGGCGAUUAGACCCGGUGGCCUCGGGACGCGCAUGCCGAUGGUCUCGACCUUCUGAACUCCUAUGUGAUAGUGUCAUAUUUGUUUCUGAUAAGGCUGUCGAUCAAAAUAACCUAACUAAAUCUUCUAACCAUAUAGUCGGUCAAGUAAGGUCGAAUCCUCG